AUGCAGGACAAAAACUAUACUUUAUUUCAUCAAAUGGUGAAAUCAACUAAUUCCUUUAAUCACCUCUGGCACAGGUGGAACAAUGCUGUCCUUGGUGCUGAAGACAUUGUCCUUCUUGGGGAAGCAGGCAAUGAGCCAGAGGAGAGGCAGAGAAUAGACAUGACUGUGCUCCAAAGCUUCUCCUGUGAUCUGUGGCUUUUUCUAGACUGUGGUUCAAGGGGAAUUGGCAAAGAACAUCCAAGGAGAAGACAUCUGAUAUCAGGUCAUUAGCAAGUGACUGUGCUACACUUCCCAGAUAACAGUGCCUUAACUCAAUUAAAAUGCCCUGUGAGUCAAAGAAUUUCAGAGCUGAAAAGGAACAUGGAAAUCACCACACCCAACCCCCUCAUUUUACAGAUAAGGAAUCUUUGGGCUAGAGAGGUUAAGUAACUUUAUGAAAGCCACAGUGACAGAGGUGAGACUAGAACCCAGGAUUCUUGACUGCUAAUUCAUUGUCCUUCCCAUUGUGCCAUCCUGUCUCCCUUGUACCAUCCUUUAGUCUUUAAAAGUCUUUAAAGAAUUAUUCUUUCUUUGGAAAAAUUUAGAUUGUUUUUAGCAUUCUUUUCUUUUAAAAUUUUGAGUUUCAAAUUCUUUCCCUCCUUCCUGCCCCCUUCCAUGCCCAUCAAGAAGGCAAGCAAUACACUAUCAAUUAUACAUGUGAAAUCAUGCAAAACAUAUUUCCAUAUUAGCCAUAUUUUUAGAAGCAUGAAAAGUAAAGAAAGUGAGAAAAUUGUACUUCAGUUUGCAUUCAGAGUUCAUCAGUUCCCCCUCUGAAGUUGGAUAUCAUUUUUUCAUCAUGAGUCUUUUGGAAUUGUCUUGGGUUAUUCUAUUGAUCAGAGUAGCCAAGUUAAAGAAUGAUUUUUAAUGCUGUUAAUUUCAUGCAUAUGAUAAGGAUAAGUUUGUGUAGGGUGGCCUUUUGGUACUUUUCAAAUUAUCCCAAGGGGGCAAGCUGCCUAGUCUUAUGGGAAAAGCCCUUUCAGUGAAAGAUAAUAAUUGGGUCUCAUACAUCCUCUUCAAUUCAUCUAUGUAGAAGCAGAAGUAUUUUCUCUUUCUUCUUGACAUGAAUUACAUCCAAGGAAUAGGUUAGAAAUUGGUGAUGGGAGGAAUGAGGGAGGCAGGGCAACCCACAGCAUAGAGUCCAAAGAAUGACACCACCACUUUCUGCCAUACCCCACCCCUCUCUCUCCUUUCCUUUCCUUUCCUCCCCUUUCAUCUUCAUCUCAUCUUUCUUUUAC
Molecule: long non-coding RNA, 1274 nt
Filed under: Phascolarctos cinereus (koala)
Lineage: Eukaryota; Metazoa; Chordata; Mammalia; Diprotodontia; Phascolarctidae
Description: lncRNA (ENSPCIG00000036755.1)
Source: RNAcentral